AUCAACAAUGCAAACCUGUCUCAUUGAUUUUCCAUAAGAGCUCUUAUAAAUUUCCAAAAUGACUAACUAUCAAAACACAACCGAAUAUCUAAUAACAAAAUAACUACUAUCAAGUUAUAACUAAAACAUUUCAACACAUUAGUUCAAUUAUAAGGCUUCUCUAAACAAAAUGAGCAAGCCAUUUUCGCAUGGCUAUAAUGUAUACAAAGUCGAAAUAUCAUUCUACCUAUAGUCUAUCCUAUACAUGCCUUAAACCAUGAUGAUAUACAAUCUUCUCAACUCACAUAAUGACUCGAUAGUGUGAUGAUAUCUCCGGCUCUUCCAACUCGAAUUAAAGGAUAAACCUAUAAGAAAUGGAAAAGAGAACACGGAGUAAGCUUCAAUGCUUAGUAAAUUUUAAGCAAUGCAAACAAUUAAUUUACUUAUAGAUCGAUUAUUUCAAAUUUUCAAGAAAUCAUUCCUAGGUAAUUGCCAUUUUGGCCAAGUAUCCAUGAACAUAAUGCAUAUUUAGCAAAUUCAUCUCACUUGAAUCUGAACUCAAUUAAAACCAAAUAUUCAAAUCACAAAUAAGAUCAUAAGAACUCGAAAAGUAUCUCAUUAACUAGUUUUAACCAUGUUUCCAACAAAAUCACAAAUUCACUACAAGCUGUCUUCCUGAGCAACAGUCACUAAAUUGUUUAUAACUGGAGCUAAGAAACUCCAAAUCAAGUGCCGUUAAUUUUCCUUGAAAAUAGACUCAUAUAUCUUACAUCCAUAAAAUUUUCAGAAUUUUUGGUUUGACCAAUCAAUACCAUAUUUUUAUUGAAGUUUCCCCUGUUUCACUGUUUGACUAUUCUGACCGCUCUUCACUACGAAUCAAUUUUCUCAUUAUACAGAAUUAGAAUUAUGUUAUCGUUUAUUUAAUUUGAAACUAGACUCAUUAAGGAGUCUAAGUAUAUAAAUUUUAUCUUAUAAUCAUCAUUGUACAAUUUACAAUGAUUUUCUAAACACAGAACAGGGGAUUUCAAAGUUAUUUUGACUCUAUCUUACGCCACUUCAAAUAUCUCAUUAUCUACAAUUCUUUUGCUUACAAGGUUUCUUUUAUAGGAAACUAGACUCAUUAAGAUUUAAUUACAUAAUUUAUUCAGCUUCUAAUUCAAUUUCCACAAUUUAUGGUGAUUUUCCAAAAUCACGCUACUGUUGCUGUCCCAAGCAGAUUUAUUACAAUUUGCACUUUGACACAUUCCUUGCAUUCAAAUUAUCUAAACAUGUAUAUCAUGUCAUUCAAGAUCGAACUCAUAUAACAUAGGCAUUAAAAUGCUUCACUAACAGCUUUAGUUCAAUUGAAAUGAAUAAAAUACAAUAUAAUAUUCACAUUUAAUUUCCAUGAUCGUAAUCACCUAAAAAUAAAUCAUAUACUUCCACAAACCUUUCCACAAUGACCAAGUGUUUAUAUUUGAAUAUAAACAUAAAAUCACUUCACAUAACUUCACACAUUUACCGAAUAUAUCACAAUCACAUAUAUAGUCAUAACACUUAUUCACAGAUGCAUCACUUUAUAUAUUUAUAAUUUAGUUCAAAUCAAAUCACAUACGAGUACAUGAUACGUACCUGGCCAACUUAAUAUGUAAUGCACUUUCAAUUUGUCAACUUAGUGUAGGAUCUUGUAAUUGUAUAAUUUUACCAAAUUCAUCGGCACUUGGCCUGCUAGGUAUAAAACCCGAAAUUAUAUUACCAGCACAAAGCCUGCAGGACUUUAGCUCGGAUACAUUUCCAGCACGAAGCCUGCGGGACUUUAGCCCGAAUACAUUUCCAGCACGAAGCCUGCGGGUCUUUAGCCCGGAUACAUUUCCAGCACGAAGCCUUCGGGACUUUAGCCCGGAUACAUUUCCAGCACGAAGCCUGCGGGUCUUUAGCCCGGAUACAUUUCCAGUGUCUUGCUUAUUUAUUCACAUGUUAACACAUUUCACAUAACAUAUCACAUUAGCAAUUCAAUUGCUUCAUUCGAAUAUAAGCACAAAAUGUACACCUACCCUUUAACUUUCGGUUCAAUAAUCAUACACAAGGAACACAAAUGUCGAAAUCCUGUUUCAUGACAUAUGUAUCCUAACUAUUCCUAAGGUUCAUACAGGGCUUUCGAACGUCGUAACUCGGUCGAAUCGAAAGCUCGAACAUAGUUUUCAAACUCAUACACAUUCGGCAUUUACAAGUAUAAAUUCAUUAUUAUAUACCAGCAUAUAUACUUAACAUUUAACUACAUUUAGGCAUGUGUAUUUGCUUAUAAACUUACCUCAGACGUCGUAAAACGGGACGGAGCUGCUAGUCGAC
RNAcentral lists this long non-coding RNA (2307 nucleotides) under Gossypium barbadense (sea-island cotton). Its description in RNAcentral is "long non-coding RNA (GBAR_LNC000673)". The record is from RNAcentral. Lineage: Eukaryota; Viridiplantae; Streptophyta; Magnoliopsida; Malvales; Malvaceae.